UAUGAGUCCCUGCAGGAUCUAUAGAUGUGU
RNAcentral lists this non-coding RNA (30 nucleotides) under Mus musculus (house mouse). Lineage: Eukaryota; Metazoa; Chordata; Mammalia; Rodentia; Muridae. The record is from RNAcentral.